AAUGGGAGCAAUCCUGAUCCAGCAAUGCCGCGUGAAUGAUGAAGGCCUUCGGGUCGUAAAGUUCUUUUAGUGGGGACAAAACAAAUGAUGGUACCCACAGAAAAAGCACCGGCUAACUCCGUGCCAGCAGCCGCGGUAAUACGGAGGGUGCAAGCGUUGCUCGGAAUCAUNGGGCGUAAAGCGCGUGUAGGCGGCUUUCUAAGUCUGAUGUGAAAUCCCAGGGCUCAACCCUGGAACUGCAUCGGAUACUGGAAAGCUAGAGGGUGAGAGAGGAUGGUGGAAUUCCUGGUGUAGGGGUGAAAUCCGUAGAUAUCAGGAGGAACAUCGGUGGCGAAGGCGGCCAUCUGGCUCACAUCUGACGCUGAGACGCGAAAGCGUGGGGAGCAAA
RNAcentral lists this ribosomal RNA (388 nucleotides) under uncultured bacterium. RNAcentral describes it as "bacterial SSU rRNA". It matches the Rfam family "Bacterial small subunit ribosomal RNA", at positions 370 to 772 of the family's 1533-position model. The record is from RNAcentral.